Molecule: ribosomal RNA, 253 nt
Filed under: uncultured bacterium
Lineage: Bacteria
Description: partial 16S ribosomal RNA
Rfam family: Bacterial small subunit ribosomal RNA
Source: RNAcentral
UACGGGGGGGGCAAGCGUUGUUCGGAUUUACUGGGCGUAAAGGGCGCGUAGGCGGCGCGGUAGGUCACUUGUGAAAUCUCUGAGCUUAACUCAGAACGGCCAAGUGAUACUGCAGUGCUAGAGUGUGGAAGGGGCAAUCGGAAUUCUUGGUGUAGCGGUGAAAUGCGUAGAUAUCAAGAGGAACACCUGAGGUGAAGACGGGUUGCUGGGCCAACACUGACGCUGAUGCGCGAAAGCCAGGGGAGCAAACGGG